Molecule: ribosomal RNA, 253 nt
Filed under: uncultured bacterium
Lineage: Bacteria
Description: partial 16S ribosomal RNA
Rfam family: Bacterial small subunit ribosomal RNA
Source: RNAcentral
UACAGAGGUCCCGAGCGUUGUUCGGAUUCAUUGGGCGUAAAGGGUGCGUAGGCGGUCUGCUAAGUUUGAUGUGAAAUCCCGGGGCUCAACCCUGGAAUGGCAUUGAAUACUGGCGGACUAGAGUACCGGAGAGGAAACUGGAAUUCCACGUGUAGCAGUGAAAUGCGUAGAGAUGUGGAGGAACACCGAUGGCGAAGGCAGCCUCCUGGGCCAGCACUGACGCUCAUGCACGAAAGCGUGGGGAGCAAACAGG